RNAcentral lists this transfer RNA (64 nucleotides) under bacterium. RNAcentral's name for it is "tRNA-Lys". It matches the Rfam family "tRNA", at positions 7 to 64 of the family's 71-position model. Rfam says of the family: Transfer RNA (tRNA) molecules are approximately 80 nucleotides in length. Their secondary structure includes four short double-helical elements and three loops (D, anti-codon, and T loops). The record is from RNAcentral.
AUAGCUCAGGUGGUAGAGCAUCUCCCUUUUAAGGAGUGGGUCGCAGGUUCGAGUCCUGCUAAAA